RNAcentral lists this ribosomal RNA (492 nucleotides) under uncultured bacterium. Its description in RNAcentral is "partial 16S ribosomal RNA". It matches the Rfam family "Bacterial small subunit ribosomal RNA", at positions 29 to 507 of the family's 1533-position model. The record is from RNAcentral.
AGUGAACGCUGGCGGUAGGCCUAACACAUGCAAGUCGAACGGCAGCACAGUAAGAGCUUGCUCUUACGGGUGGCGAGUGGCGGACGGGUGAGGAAUACAUCGGAAUCUACUUUUUCGUGGGGGAUAACGUAGGGAAACUUACGCUAAUACCGCAUACGACCUACGGGUGAAAGCAGGGGAUCUUCGGACCUUGCGCGAUUGAAUGAGCCGAUGUCGGAUUAGCUAGUUGGCGGGGUAAAGGCCCACCAAGGCGACGAUCCGUAGCUGGUCUGAGGGGAUGAUCAGCCACACUGGAACUGAGACACGGUCCAGACUCCUACGGGAGGCAGCAGUGGGGAAUAUUGGACAAUGGGCGCAAGCCUGAUCCAGCCAUACCGCGUGGGUGAAGAAGGCCUUCGGGUUGUAAAGCCCUUUUGUUGGGAAAGAAGAGCAGCAGGUUAAUACCCCGCUGUUCUGACGGUACCCAAAGAAUAAGCACCGGCUAACUUCGUG